RNAcentral lists this transfer RNA (77 nucleotides) under Mycoplasma sp. RNAcentral's name for it is "tRNA-Arg". It matches the Rfam family "tRNA". Rfam says of the family: Transfer RNA (tRNA) molecules are approximately 80 nucleotides in length. Their secondary structure includes four short double-helical elements and three loops (D, anti-codon, and T loops). The record is from RNAcentral. Lineage: Bacteria; Bacillati; Mycoplasmatota; Mollicutes; Mycoplasmatales; Mycoplasmataceae. RNAcentral also lists the same sequence under 1 other name.
GGCCGCGUAGCUCAGCUGGAUAGAGCACGUCCCUUCUAAGGAUGUGGUCAGAGGUUCGAAUCCUCUCGCGGUCACCA